AGUGAACGCUGGCGGUAGGCCUAAGACAUGCAAGUCGAACGGCAGCACAGUAAGAGCUUGCUCUUACGGGUGGCGAGUGGCGGACGGGUGAGGAAUACAUCGGAAUCUACUUUUUCGUGGGGGAUAACGUAGGGAAACUUACGCUAAUACCGCAUACGACCUACGGGUGAAAGCAGGGGAUCUUCGGACCUUGCGCGAUUGAAUGAGCCGAUGUCGGAUUAGCUAGUUGGCGGGGUAAAGGCCCACCAAGGCGACGAUCCGUAGCUGGUCUGAGAGGAUGAUCAGCCACACUGGAACUGAGACACGGUCCAGACUCCUACGGGAGGCGGCAGUGGGGAAUAUUGGACAAUGGGCGCAAGCCUGAUCCAGCCAUACCGCGUGGGUGAAGAAGGCCUUCGGGUUGUAAAGCCCUUUUGUUGGGAAAGAAAAGCAGCAGGUUAAUACCCCGCUGUUCUGACGGUACCCAAAGAAUAAGCACCGGCUAACUUCGUGC
RNAcentral lists this ribosomal RNA (493 nucleotides) under uncultured bacterium. Its description in RNAcentral is "partial 16S ribosomal RNA". It matches the Rfam family "Bacterial small subunit ribosomal RNA", at positions 29 to 508 of the family's 1533-position model. The record is from RNAcentral.